UACAAUGUGUUCCUACAGGAGGAAAGAAAGAUGCGGCUUGAAGAUGCCUCGCUGCGAAGCGUUCACACAGACAAGCAAUUGAAAAACCAUAUCAUAUAUGUUGGCAAAUUGACGUUAGAAUAAUGUAUACAAGGAUGCCUUUCGUACAGCUCAUUCGACAUUUAUUAUUAGCAGAAACGAAUUUCCCAUCUAAUUUCUUGGCUGCUGGAGGGUGACAUCAGAUUUCCAUUUUUUUAUCUCUUGUUCGGGGGCUAGUUGCCGCAGGUUAAGGUGGAACAGCUGCCAUUGAUUUGUUUUAGCAAUUUCUAGAGAUUGG
RNAcentral lists this long non-coding RNA (316 nucleotides) under Eucalyptus grandis. Its description in RNAcentral is "long non-coding RNA (EGRA_LNC006551)". The record is from RNAcentral. Lineage: Eukaryota; Viridiplantae; Streptophyta; Magnoliopsida; Myrtales; Myrtaceae.